CGAAGCCGCGUCUUACAUGGAACCCCGUUCCUCGCCGCGAUAUCCCCGUUUGAGCCUCUUUCCUGCCGCGACUACGCUGCACAGGGACUGAAAUGCAAAUUGGGUGCUUGUAUGAAACGCACUGGGCUUUGCAGGGGCUGAUCCGUGAAAUACCUGCGCUUUGUGCCGCCUUAAGACAAAAAAGUUGUCAUGGUCCAUACAAGCAAGUAGUAGCAGCUGGGAGGAGGAAGAUAGGAAGAGAGGAGCAGAGGUAGCCUCGUCUUCCUCGGGAUUGGGAGGGACGAGAGAGGCGGGGAGAGAAUGCAGGAGCAGGGGGAGAGCUCGCGGCCUUCGAGCAGCGACAGGUCGUCCAGCUCCGGCAACCACAUGGGGCACAAGGAAGGCAAGCUCUACAACUUCAAUUCUCUCCUGCUGUAAUGCUGUUUUAGCUCGAUCGGUUCUUGAAACCAAGCUCUUGUGCGCUGUGCCUUCCGGUGAGUGUCCAUUGGGCCGGGCUUCCGAAAGUUCCGAUCAUCUUGAUCACUUGCCAGAGAUGUUCUAUACUUUUCUAGAAUUUUGGGUCGAAUUUCACGCCAUCUUUAACUGGGCAUUUUGAGGAAAGAAGCUCUGCACUCAUUUAUGCAGCAGAAUUUGCGUUUAUGCGCGUUUGUGUUUGCAGAAAGACCGAUGUCUUCGAAAGAAGUAUGGUGAACCGAGCUAAGCUGAGCUUCGUUGGACUGCAGGGAUGGAGAGCGACGACGAGAUAGGGACGGUGCCGGAGCUGGGCCUGGGGCCAAGCGGCGCGUCCACGUCCGGCAGGAGGGAAGCCGACGGGCCGGAGCGCGCCCAGUCCUCCACCGCGCAAGGCAGCGCGCGCCGCCGCGGACGCACCCCGGCCGACAAGGAGCACAAGCGCCUCAAGAGGUUGCUGAGGAACCGGGUAUCAGCCCAGCAGGCAAGGGAGAGGAAGAAAGCUUAUUUGGGCGAUCUGGAGGUGAAGGUGAAGGACCUAGAGAAGAAGAAUUCGGAGCUGGAAGAGAGGCAUUCCACCCUACAGAAUGAGAACCAGAUGCUCCGACAGAUCCUGAAGAACACCACUGUGAGCAGAAGAGGGCCAAGUGAGGGUCAAUAGCACAGAGGUUGUCAGGGUUGAUUCGCAGAAUUUUCACAGCAAACAGUUCAAUUCACGUGAAUCAAAGAGGCCCUAGGAUCGAAUAUAGCUGCGUUGAUCGAUCCCAAAAUACACUAUGUCUGGAACUUAAACUGGUUGGAAGCUUUCUGGCCAAAGGAUAACCUCAAAAUCCGGGGGCCUAAACCUGUGUAGAUCUUCACAGAUGUCCCCAUCAUACUCUAUGAAGUCCAGCACCACGUGCUGUGCUUCGUUAAUAAUCUCAGAAAAUUAGUUUUGAGUGAUUUAACAUGUAAUUUGUAUCAUUUUUUAUGUAUCUACGAGUAUACAAUCCAAACAUUUUAUUGUUUGGCAAUUUACUUUGUACUAUGGGCAAAUGCGCACAUCCGGUGUCGGCAAAUGCGGCCUUGUCAUGUUAUGGCUCUUGCGGAUUGAUGACUCCUCGAGGAUAUAUGUCAUAUGGGUGAACAACUCAGCCCCUUCCAUCAGCAUCUUUCCUCUUGUUUUGAUUCCAAGGAGUCCAAAUUGAUGGUGUGCGUUCGUUUUAUAUUGGUAUGACACUGACGUGCACCCUUGCCUUUCUCUCUUGUCCGUGCUUGCUGGCUUUGGAGGUGCUGCCAUCAUAAUCUGGACCCGAUCACCAUUUUUCUUACAUAAUCGCACUAGAAACGUUAAAGAAAAAUCGAAAAGAAAGGUCAAAACCUUUCGGCCCCUACAUUCUCCGGUACACACAGCCAUAAAACCUAAUCAAAUCCUCAGUGAUCAAGUUGGCAGAAAGUUGCCGUCUUUCGAACACAAAAGGAGAGGAGAACAGAACACGGGACAUUCAAUCUUUUUUUUUACCCAAUUUUUCUUUUUUAAAGUGUCAAAAAAUAAUCUUAUUCUUGUUUUGGCUCAAGCAGCACAGAAGGAGAGUUUCAUUUCCGAGAGAAAUGCUCAAGUUUGCUUUGGCCAUUGUAGUGCCCUGCAGCUGUGGACAGGGCCCACAACCACACACACCUGCCUUAAAUCCAGAGGUGAUCUCCAUUUACUAGUGUUACCUGUUAGAAGUAUAAUUAUGUUUAAGUUAGAGAUUAGAAGUUAGAGAUAUGAUUGGUUUAAACCACAUGUAACUUGUCUUGUACUCCAAGUCUCUACCCCUCUUGUAUUCCU
RNAcentral lists this ribosomal RNA (2260 nucleotides) under Triticum aestivum (bread wheat). RNAcentral describes it as "partial small subunit ribosomal RNA". The record is from RNAcentral. Lineage: Eukaryota; Viridiplantae; Streptophyta; Magnoliopsida; Poales; Poaceae.